AUAUUAAUAAGUUAAAAAAACUAGUAACCUUCAAAGUUAUCAAUAUAAUUCAUUGUUUAAUAUA
This 64-nucleotide transfer RNA is filed under the name Achatinella mustelina. Its description in RNAcentral is "tRNA-Trp". The record is from RNAcentral. Lineage: Eukaryota; Metazoa; Mollusca; Gastropoda; Stylommatophora; Achatinellidae.